RNAcentral lists this ribosomal RNA (487 nucleotides) under Escherichia coli. RNAcentral describes it as "bacterial SSU rRNA". It matches the Rfam family "Bacterial small subunit ribosomal RNA", at positions 1 to 477 of the family's 1533-position model. Lineage: Bacteria; Pseudomonadati; Pseudomonadota; Gammaproteobacteria; Enterobacterales; Enterobacteriaceae. The record is from RNAcentral.
AAAUUGAAGAGUUUGAUCAUGGCUCAGAUUGAACGCUGGCGGCAGGCUUAACACAUGCAAGUCGAACGGUAACAGGAAGAAGCUUGCUUCUUUGCUGACGAGUGGCGGACGGGUGAGUAAUGUCUGGGAAACUGCCUGAUGGAGGGGGAUAACUACUGGAAACGGUAGCUAAUACCGCAUAACGUCGCAAGACCAAAGAGGGGGACCUUCGGGCCUCUUGCCAUCGGAUGUGCCCAGAUGGGAUUAGCUAGUAGGUGGGGUAACGGCUCACCUAGGCGACGAUCCCUAGCUGGUCUGAGAGGAUGACCAGCCACACUGGAACUGAGACACGGUCCAGACUCCUACGGGAGGCAGCAGUGGGGAAUAUUGCACAAUGGGCGCAAGCCUGAUGCAGCCAUGCCGCGUGUAUGAAGAAGGCCUUCGGGUUGUAAAGUACUUUCAGCGGGGAGGAAGGGAGUAAAGUUAAUACCUUUGCUCAUUGACGUUA